UUCAGGUACGGUGACAUGGUACCCUCGACGAUCAUGGGCAAGGUAGUGGGAGGGAUCUGCUCACUGUCUGGUGUCUUGGUCAUUGCUCUGCCAGUGCCCGUAAUUGUCUCCAAC
Molecule: non-coding RNA, 114 nt
Organism: Mesocestoides corti
Lineage: Eukaryota; Metazoa; Platyhelminthes; Cestoda; Cyclophyllidea; Mesocestoididae
Source: Rfam